GGGGAAUAUUGCACAAUGGGGGAAACCCUGAUGCAGCGACGCCGCGUGGAGGAAGAAGGUCUUCGGAUUGUAAACUCCUGUUGUUGAGGAAGAUAAUGACGGUACUCAACAAGGAAGUGACGGCUAACUACGUGCCAGCAGCCGCGGUAAAACGUAGGUCACAAGCGUUGUCCGGAAUUACUGGGUGUAAAGGGAGCGCAGGCGGACCGGCAAGUUGGAAGUGAAAACUAUGGGCUCAACCCAUAAAUUGCUUUCAAAACUGCUGGCCUUGAGUAGUGCAGAGGUAGGUGGAAUUCCCGGUGUAGCGGUGGAAUGCGUAGAUAUCGGGAGGAACACCAGUGGCGAAGGCGACCUACUGGGCACCAACUGACGCUGAGGCUCGAAAGCAUGGGUAGCAAACAGGAUUAGAUACCCUGGUAGUCCAUGCCGUAAACGAUGAUUACUAGGUGUUGGAGGAUUGACCCCUUCAGUGCCGCAGUUAACACAAUAAGUAAUCCACCUGGGGAGUACGACCGCAAGGUUGAAACUCAAAGGAAUUGACGGGGGCCCGCACAAGCAGUGGAGUAUGUGGUUUAAUUCGAAGCAACGCGAAGAACCUUACCAGGUCUUGACAUCCGAUGCAUAGCUUAGAGAUAAGUGAAGUCCUUCGGGACAUCGAGACAGGUGGUGCAUGGUUGUCGUCAGCUCGUGUCGUGAGAUGUUGGGUUAAGUCCCGCAACGAGCGCAACCCUUAUUGCCAGUUACUACGCAAGAGGACUCUGGCGAGACUGCCGUUGACAAAACGGAGGAAGGUGGGGAUGACGUCAAAUCAUCAUGCCCUUUAUGACCUGGGCUACACACGUACUACAAUGGCGUUUAACAAAGAGAAGCAAGACCGCGAGGUGGAGCAAAACUCAAAAACAACGUCUCAGUUCAGAUUGCAGGCUGCAACUCGCCUGCAUGAAGUCGGAAUUGCUAGUAAUCGCGGAUCAGCAUGCCGCGGUGAAUACGUUCCCG
RNAcentral lists this ribosomal RNA (996 nucleotides) under uncultured bacterium. RNAcentral describes it as "bacterial SSU rRNA". It matches the Rfam family "Bacterial small subunit ribosomal RNA", at positions 356 to 1376 of the family's 1533-position model. The record is from RNAcentral.